CCUAAUAGUUUGUUAGCAAUACACUGAUUACGCUAACCUCGUUCAUGCGGUCAUGGUGUAUUUUAGGCCCCCACACCACCAGCCUCCCAACUUUGAUUGCCUGAUGCACUUUCCUUGCCUUCCACAUGAGGGCGCCCAAGCACCAUUUUAGCUCCCGACCUGCAGGUACUGGAGUCGAAAAGAGAAGGAGGGAUGACCAUUAUGCCUUGAUCUGCGGACGUUCCUCCUCUUCUCUGCUUCCAGCUUCUUCAGAACUCCUUUUACAUGAAGACUUUGAACACGCCAAAACACGAAAGAUAUCAUCAAACAUCACGAGAGUCUAGAAGGAAGUGCGGGAGCGAGAGGAGCGCCGGGCAUGCCGCCAUGAGAGGAGAGAGGGGGAAGGCUGCGAUUGGCUGGCAAACCCGUUCAGGGUGGA
Long non-coding RNA from Hippocampus comes (tiger tail seahorse), 418 nucleotides. RefSeq lists it as uncharacterized. Lineage: Eukaryota; Metazoa; Chordata; Actinopteri; Syngnathiformes; Syngnathidae. The transcript has 4 exons. The record is from RefSeq and is a predicted model, not a curated record.